This 477-nucleotide ribosomal RNA is filed under the name uncultured bacterium. Its description in RNAcentral is "bacterial SSU rRNA". It matches the Rfam family "Bacterial small subunit ribosomal RNA", at positions 46 to 518 of the family's 1533-position model. The record is from RNAcentral.
GCCUAACACAUGCAAGUCGAACGAAGCACUUCUGGUUGAGAUUCGUCAAGAACUGGAUUUGACUUAGUGGCGGACGGGUGAGUAAUGUAUGAGCAACCUGCCUUUCAGAGGGGGACAACAGUUGGAAACGACUGCUAAUACCGCAUAAUGUAUUAUAAGGGCAUCCUUGUGAUACCAAAGGAGCAAUCCGCUGAAAGAUGGGCUCAUAUCUGAUUAGUUAGUUGGCAGGGUAACGGCCUACCAAGACUGCGAUCAGUAGCCGGACUGAGAGGUUGAACGGCCACAUUGGGACUGAGAUACGGCCCAGACUCCUACGGGAGGCAGCAGUGGGGAAUAUUGGGCAAUGGGCGAAAGCCCUGACCCAGCAACGCCGCGUGAAGGAAGAAGGUCUUCGGAUUGUAAACUUCUUUUAUGAGGGACGAAGGAAGUGACGGUACCUCAUGAAUAAGCCACGGCUAACUACGUGCCAGCCGCCGC